This 497-nucleotide ribosomal RNA is filed under the name uncultured bacterium. RNAcentral's name for it is "partial 16S ribosomal RNA". It matches the Rfam family "Bacterial small subunit ribosomal RNA", at positions 28 to 507 of the family's 1533-position model. The record is from RNAcentral.
GAUGAACGCUGGCGGCGUGCCUAAUACAUGCAAGUCGAGCGAACAGAUAAGGAGCUUGCUCCUUUGACGUUAGCGGCGGACGGGUGAGUUACACGUGGAUAACCUACCUAUAAGACUGGGAUAACUUCGGGAAACCGGAGCUAAUACCGGAUAACAUAUUGAACCGCAUGGUUCAAUAGUGAAAGGCGGCUUUGCUGUCACUUAUAGAUGGAUCCGCGCCGUAUUAGCUAGUUGGUAAGGUAACGGCUUACCAAGGCAACGAUACGUAGCCGACCUGAGAGGGUGAUCGGCCACACUGGAACUGAGACACGGUCCAGACUCCUACGGGAGGCAGCAGUAGGGAAUCUUCCGCAAUGGGCGAAAGCCUGACGGAGCAACGCCGCGUGAGUGAUGAAGGUCUUCGGAUCGUAAAACUCUGUUAUCAGGGAAGAACAAAUGUGUAAGUAACUGUGCACAUCUUGACGGUACCUGAUCAGAAAGCCGCGGCUAACUACGUG